RNAcentral lists this ribosomal RNA (512 nucleotides) under Lactobacillus sp. RNAcentral describes it as "bacterial SSU rRNA". It matches the Rfam family "Bacterial small subunit ribosomal RNA", at positions 52 to 529 of the family's 1533-position model. The record is from RNAcentral. Lineage: Bacteria; Bacillati; Bacillota; Bacilli; Lactobacillales; Lactobacillaceae.
UACAUGCAGUCGAACGAACUCUGGUAUUGAUUGGUGCUUGCAUCAUGAUUUACAUUUGAGUGAGUGGCGAACUGGUGAGUAACACGUGGGAAACCUGCCCAGAAGCGGGGGAUAACACCUGGAAACAGAUGCUAAUACCGCAUAACAACUUGGACCGCAUGGUCCGAGCUUGAAAGAUGGCUUCGGCUAUCACUUUUGGAUGGUCCCGCGGCGUAUUAGCUAGAUGGUGGGGUAACGGCUCACCAUGGCAAUGAUACGUAGCCGACCUGAGAGGGUAAUCGGCCACAUUGGGACUGAGACACGGCCCAAACUCCUACGGGAGGCAGCAGUAGGGAAUCUUCCACAAUGGACGAAAGUCUGAUGGAGCAACGCCGCGUGAGUGAAGAAGGGUUUCGGCUCGUAAAAACUCUGUUGUUAAAGAAGAACAUAUCUGAGAGUAACUGUUCAGGUAUUGACGGUAUUUAACCAGAAAGCCACGGCUAACUACGUGCCAGCAGCCGCGGUAAUACGUA